Molecule: ribosomal RNA, 697 nt
Filed under: Alloglossidium fonti
Lineage: Eukaryota; Metazoa; Platyhelminthes; Trematoda; Plagiorchiida; Alloglossidiidae
Description: eukaryotic LSU rRNA
Rfam family: Eukaryotic large subunit ribosomal RNA (bases 328-697)
Source: RNAcentral
ACUGCUUUGAACAUCGACAUCUUGAACGCACAUUGCGGCCAUGGGCUAGCUCAUGGCCACGCCUGUCCGAGGGUCGGCUUAUAAACUAUCACGACGCCCAAAAAGUCGUGGCUUGGGUCUUGCCAGCUGACGUGAUUUCCCUAUUGGUGCAAACUAACGGGGUGUCAGAUCUAUGGCGUUUCCCUAAUAAUUCCAGUUACAACUCCUUUUGGCUGAAGGCCAUAUUGGAGGGUGACUGUGGAGUCGUGGCUCAAUGGUAAUGUUUGCGCGCGCUCUGCAUUGUCACCACUGUAUCUGUUAAACGUGAAAUGCUUUCUGCAUUUUACCUGACCUCGGAUCAGACGUGAAUACCCGCUGAACUUAAGCAUAUCACUAAGCGGAGGAAAAGAAACUAACAAGGAUUCCCUCAGUAACGGCGAGUGAACAGGGAAAAGCCCAGCACCGAAGCCUGUGGCCAUUUGGUCAUUAGGCAAUGUGGUGUUUAGGUCGUUCCACAGAAGUUCUGCUCCAUCCUAAGUCCAUCAAUGAGUACGGUAGUACGGACAUGGCCCAUUGAGGGUGAAAGGCCCGUGGGGGUGGAGACAUCGAAAGGCCAGAACUUCUCUGGGUAGACCUUGGAGUCGGGUUGUUUGUGAAUGCAGCCCAAAGUGGGUGGUAAACUCCAUCCAAGGCUAAAUACUUGCACGAGUCCGAUAGA